GUACGUACCUGACAGGUGAGAUACCAUGAUCAUGAAGGUGUUUUUCCUAGGGCAAGACUUAUCCAGGGAACUCCAGAUGUGAUGACCCUUGCAAUUACCCCAAAUAUGGUAAACUCAUAAUUUGUGGUAGUGGGGGAAUGUGUUCAAACCCUCCUCUG
This 158-nucleotide small nuclear RNA is filed under the name Catagonus wagneri (Chacoan peccary). RNAcentral's name for it is "U1 spliceosomal RNA (ENSCWAG00000021762.1)". It matches the Rfam family "U1 spliceosomal RNA". From Rfam's summary of the family: U1 is a small nuclear RNA (snRNA) component of the spliceosome (involved in pre-mRNA splicing). Its 5' end forms complementary base pairs with the 5' splice junction, thus defining the 5' donor site of an intron. There are significant differences in sequence and secondary structure between metazoan and yeast U1 snRNAs, the latter being much longer (568 nucleotides as compared to 164 nucleotides in human). The record is from RNAcentral. Lineage: Eukaryota; Metazoa; Chordata; Mammalia; Artiodactyla; Tayassuidae.